RNAcentral lists this small RNA (84 nucleotides) under Xanthomonas campestris. RNAcentral's name for it is "sX9 sRNA". It matches the Rfam family "Xanthomonas sRNA sX9". Lineage: Bacteria; Pseudomonadati; Pseudomonadota; Gammaproteobacteria; Lysobacterales; Lysobacteraceae. RNAcentral also lists the same sequence under 2 other names. The record is from RNAcentral.
AUGUACCCACGUACACUCCGGUUCCUCCGCGCCCUCCGCGCCGUCCGCACCCACCUGACGACUGCUCGCUACGUUUUGUUAGCC